RNAcentral lists this ribosomal RNA (304 nucleotides) under uncultured bacterium. RNAcentral describes it as "partial 16S ribosomal RNA". It matches the Rfam family "Bacterial small subunit ribosomal RNA", at positions 506 to 807 of the family's 1533-position model. The record is from RNAcentral.
CAGCAGCCGCCGCGGGAAUACGAAGGGUGCAAGCGUUACUCGGAAUUACUGGGCGUAAAGCGUGCGUAGGUGGUGGUUUAAGUCCGUUGUGAAAGCCCUGGGCUCAACCUGGGAAUUGCAGUGGAUACUGGGUCACUAGAGUGUGGUAGAGGAUAGUGGAAUUUCCGGUGUAGCAGUGAAAUGCGUAGAGAUCGGAAGGUACAUCUGUGGCGAAGGCGACUAUCUGGGCCAACACUGACGCUGAGGCACGAAAGCGUGGGGAGCAAACAGGAUUAGAUACCCCAGUAGUCCCUGUCUCUUAUAC